AAGACAAUGUUCUCUAAGUUUCCAAGACAAAGACACCCUGAGAGUCUGGGAGAGCCUGGAUCCUUGGACCCCAGCCUGUGGUGCUACUCAGAGGAGAGGGAACCUUUAGAAGGCAGAGCUCGGCAGAGGUCAGAGGUCACUGGGGACUCAUCCUUGCAAGGAGUUAUGGGACGCUGUCCUCACCCUCUGCUGUCCACUCUGCUUCUGGGCUGAUAAGGGGAGUGGGCUCCCUCUGCCUCAUGUCCCCAUCAUGGGGAUACUGAAGCCCUGGAUGCCUUGCACACAGAUGAAACCUCCAAACGCUCCUUGCAGAGAUGGAGAAUCCCACGCAGAAGCACACAAGAGAGGAAUGGAGACCCAGCUCCUAAUACGGUGGAGUCUGUGCUCCAGUCUUUAUCACACUAUUUCUAGGCUGGUCCGUGUGCAAAGCCAUGACAGUUUCACGAACAGCUGCUGUGAUGAGACAAAAUUUACGUUCAGAAGGCUGCUGGUUAGAAAGCAUUUCCUGUCAUAUGGCCUCCCUGAGAAGCAUCACUAUACUGAGGGCCCUGGUCCUCCUCUGUCACCAGCAAGUCUGAGCUUUGCCGGGGGAGGCAGCAUCUGGAUAAGUGCUUUCCAAGAGGGGAGCUGCGUGGGAGGCCAGCGUGUCCUCUGUUUCUGACCUUCUAGGCUCCGUGUCUACAGGGCCACUGUGUCAAUGCUUGGAUGACCGAAGACAAAGCCAUUCUGCCAACAUACUCAUUAAGUACGUCCUCCACAGAGCUGGCUUCCUGGCAGAUAUAAAGAUAUAAUUUAAGAAAUCUCUUCAGCCGGAAUAGCAUGAGCCCUCACCCUGCACCAGGACAUCACGGUCCUCACUGGUGGAUUCACCAGUGCAUGGACUGUCCCAUGGUUUCAGGGGUUUCUGGGAACCUCAUAUCAUGUGGGGAAGUGGGGUCUUUGUCAGUCAGGUGAUGCAGUGAGCGAUGUAGUUUUUAAACUGUGUCCUCUCUGGUCUCUCAGCUUGCUUCUGAGCCAGCUGUGCCCAGCCAGCAGACAGCAGGUUGUAGUUAGACACACCAGGGGUUUAUGGGGAUGUAUGUGAAGACCAGGAGGAGGAGGAUGGGCAGGGAGGGUCUUCAGGCUGCCAUGUUGCUCUGGUGCUGUGAAAAGAGAACGGGCAGGAGGCUGGGUCAGGAUUUCCUCUGGAUGCAGUGCUGCUGUGAGAAAAUCCUGGCCCAGUAGGGAAACCUAGAUUGCGGAUGGGAAGUGCCCCCCACAUCCAACAGGGCCCCAGCUCCGGCAUGCAGCCACCUCAGGCCCUGGCCAGGAGCAUGCAGUAAGAGGGCAGGAUCAGAAUAGGAUGGCUGGAUGCCGGCGGCAGAGCAGCAGGGAGAGCGGGGUGGUGAGUGACCAGGGGUACUGCAGCUGGCUUGAGGUCCUUUACUUCACAGGCAGCAGGAAUAAAGCAGAGCUAGAACUGCCUUUGUAAAGAAAGAGCAUCUUUCAGGUCCAUCAGGAAAGGGGAAGGAUGGUCCUCUUUUCUCAUUGUAGGGUGAAAUUUUCUUAUUUGUGCAUCUUCCAAUGACUGGGAGACCAUGGAGUGUCUGCUAGCAAAGAUGUUUCUCAAUUUCCCAUCAUCUGGGCAGUGUGUGGUAACCUGCCACUGGCUUUGUGAUCCACUAACGGGCUUUCAGUUAUUACUGAACUUUCAAGCCAUGUAGGCAGUGCUUGAUAUGACUCGGCUCCAUCACAUUUUCCUGAACAAAUCACCCAGGGGUGAUUGUUACUCCACAGCAUCUCGCCCAACUGGACAGCUUCAGUCACCAGGCUGUGCUCCAACUCAUAUUUGGUCCUUGAUCUCCGGGCCACAUCUACUCAGCAUCUUAUUAAUUUCUUGCUGCUUUGAGGUGAAGCCCUAACACACUAAGAAGUCGUGUACAAGUCACACUGAUGUAUGCAAUUGGAAAUAAAGUGCUGACAUCUGGUGAGGCAAAACCACAGCCCCCAAAUUUUGAAAUGCCCCCCAACAACACUGCAUGCAUUACAUAUAAGCCGAUAGAGUCCUUCUGACUCUAACCACAACCUUAACAUUUCAUAGCUUAUUGCCAACAACAAGUUAAACAUUUCAAACAAUCACUUGAAAACCUUCAACAAAAAAUAAAAUUUGGACCACCUUGCUAUGGACAAGAAUGGACUAUUUCUGUGCUCUCGCAGGUCACACUAAAAGCUGAAAUCACAGAAAAAGAAAAAUUAGAAUACACAUCAAAAUAACGCGGUGAAAUUUAACAUGUGCAUGUGACAAGCAGUAAUUUGUUAAAAGAAGCCAUUAGUUUUCUAGCUUUUAUCAUAUCUGUGCAAUUUGUUCUUUUUCAAAAAAAUUCAUUUUAUUUUGAUUUAUAUUGUCAUUCCAAAUAAAAAUUAAAGCUAGUAAA
Cavia porcellus (domestic guinea pig) is the source of this 2414-nucleotide long non-coding RNA. RefSeq lists it as uncharacterized. The record is from RefSeq and is a predicted model, not a curated record. The transcript has 2 exons. Lineage: Eukaryota; Metazoa; Chordata; Mammalia; Rodentia; Caviidae.